GGGGCCGUAGUUUAGUCGGGAGAACGCUUCCUUUGCAAGGAAGAGGUCAGGGGUUCGAAUCCCCUCGGCUCCA
This 73-nucleotide transfer RNA is filed under the name Pseudomonadota bacterium. RNAcentral's name for it is "tRNA-Ala". It matches the Rfam family "tRNA". From Rfam's summary of the family: Transfer RNA (tRNA) molecules are approximately 80 nucleotides in length. Their secondary structure includes four short double-helical elements and three loops (D, anti-codon, and T loops). Further hydrogen bonds mediate the characteristic L-shaped molecular structure. tRNAs have two regions of fundamental functional importance: the anti-codon, which is responsible for specific mRNA codon recognition, and the 3' end, to which the tRNAs corresponding amino acid is attached (by aminoacyl-tRNA synthetases). tRNAs cope with the degeneracy of the genetic code in two manners: having more than one tRNA (with a specific anti-codon) for a particular amino acid; and 'wobble' base-pairing, i.e. permitting non-standard base-pairing at the 3rd anti-codon position. Lineage: Bacteria; Pseudomonadati; Pseudomonadota. The record is from RNAcentral. RNAcentral also lists the same sequence under 1 other name.